This 689-nucleotide ribosomal RNA is filed under the name Brevundimonas aurantiaca. RNAcentral describes it as "bacterial SSU rRNA". It matches the Rfam family "Bacterial small subunit ribosomal RNA", at positions 18 to 755 of the family's 1533-position model. The record is from RNAcentral. Lineage: Bacteria; Pseudomonadati; Pseudomonadota; Alphaproteobacteria; Caulobacterales; Caulobacteraceae.
AACUGCUCAGAGCGAACGCUGGCGGCAGGCCUAACACAUGCAAGUCGAACGAAGUCUUCGGACUUAGUGGCGGACGGGUGAGUAACACGUGGGAACGUGCCUUUAGGUUCGGAAUAACUCAGGGAAACUUGUGCUAAUACCGAAUGUGCCCUUCGGGGGAAAGAUUUAUCGCCUUUAGAGCGGCCCGCGUCUGAUUAGCUAGUUGGUGAGGUAAAGGCUCACCAAGGCGACGAUCAGUAGCUGGUCUGAGAGGAUGAUCAGCCACAUUGGGACUGAGACACGGCCCAAACUCCUACGGGAGGCAGCAGUGGGGAAUCUUGCGCAAUGGGCGAAAGCCUGACGCAGCCAUGCCGCGUGAAUGAUGAAGGUCUUAGGAUUGUAAAAUUCUUUCACCGGGGACGAUAAUGACGGUACCCGGAGAAGAAGCCCCGGCUAACUUCGUGCCAGCAGCCGCGGUAAUACGAAGGGGGCUAGCGUUGCUCGGAAUUACUGGGCGUAAAGGGAGCGUAGGCGGACAUUUAAGUCAGGGGUGAAAUCCCGGGGCUCAACCUCGGAAUUGCCUUUGAUACUGGGUGUCUUGAGUGUGAGAGAGGUAUGUGGAACUCCGAGUGUAGAGGUGAAAUUCGUAGAUAUUCGGAAGAACACCAGUGGCGAAGGCGACAUACUGGCUCAUUACUGACGCUAGCUCU